AGAGUUUGAUCCUGGCUCAGAUUGAACGCUGGCGGCAGGCCUAACACAUGCAAGUCGAACGGUAACAUUUCUAGCUUGCUAGAAGAUGACGAGUGGCGGACGGGUGAGUAAUGCUUGGGAACUUGCCUUUGCGAGGGGGAUAACAGUUGGAAACGACUGCUAAUACCGCAUAAUGUCUUCGGACCAAACGGGGCUUCGGCUCCGGCGCAAAGAGAGGCCCAAGUGAGAUUAGCUAGUUGGUAAGGUAACGGCUUACCAAGGCGACGAUCUCUAGCUGUUCUGAGAGGAAGAUCAGCCACACUGGGACUGAGACACGGCCCAGACUCCUACGGGAGGCAGCAGUGGGGAAUAUUGCACAAUGGGGGAAACCCUGAUGCAGCCAUGCCGCGUGUGUGAAGAAGGCCUUCGGGUUGUAAAGCACUUUCAGUUGUGAGGAAAAGUUAGUAGUUAAUACCUGCUAGCCGUGACGUUAACAACAGAAGAAGCACCGGCUAACUCCGUGCCAGCAGCCGCGGUAAUACGGAGGGUGCGAGCGUUAAUCGGAAUUACUGGGCGUAAAGCGCACGCAGGCGGUUUGUUAAGCUAGAUGUGAAAGCCCCGGGCUCAACCUGGGAUGGUCAUUUAGAACUGGCAGACUAGAGUCUUGGAGAGGGGAGUGGAAUUCCAGGUGUAGCGGUGAAAUGCGUAGAUAUCUGGAGGAACAUCAGUGGCGAAGGCGACUCCCUGGCCAAAGACUGACGCUCAUGUGCGAAAGUGUGGGUAGCGAACAGGAUUAGAUACCCUGGUAGUCCACACCGUAAACGCUGUCUACUAGCUGUGUGUGCCCUUUAAGGCGUGCGUAGCGAAGCUAACGCGCUAAGUAGCACCCGCCCUGGGGGGAGUACGGGCCGC
This 891-nucleotide ribosomal RNA is filed under the name uncultured Alteromonas sp. Its description in RNAcentral is "bacterial SSU rRNA". It matches the Rfam family "Bacterial small subunit ribosomal RNA", at positions 9 to 873 of the family's 1533-position model. The record is from RNAcentral. Lineage: Bacteria; Pseudomonadati; Pseudomonadota; Gammaproteobacteria; Alteromonadales; Alteromonadaceae.